GAUGAAGAACGUAGUGAAAUGCGAUAAGUAGUGUGAAUUGCAGAAUUCAGUGAAUCAUCGAAUCUUUGAACGCACAUUGCGCCUUCUAGUAUUCUGGGAGGCAUGCCUGUUUGAGCGUCAUUAAACCUCUCUCAAGUAUGAUUACUUGGAUGUGAAGGAAGAGUACCUUAAACUUAAGGAGUGUUCUCCUUUGAAAUUGAUUAGCAGAUGGUAAUGUUAUUAAAUCCCUGAUGUUGUAAGAAAUAACAGUGGUUUUGUAGACUAUUAUCUAGCUUUAAAUUAUAAUUUUUAUUAUGGUUGACCUCAAAUCAGGUAAGGAUACCCGCUGAACUUAAGCAUAUCAAUAAGCGGAGGA
Molecule: unclassified non-coding RNA, 355 nt
Filed under: soil metagenome
Description: partial contains 5.8S ribosomal RNA, internal transcribed spacer 2, and large subunit ribosomal RNA
Rfam family: 5.8S ribosomal RNA (bases 1-120)
Source: RNAcentral